Molecule: ribosomal RNA, 486 nt
Filed under: uncultured bacterium
Lineage: Bacteria
Description: partial 16S ribosomal RNA
Rfam family: Bacterial small subunit ribosomal RNA
Source: RNAcentral
GCCUAACACAUGCAAGUCGAGCGGCAGCGAGAGUAGUAGCAAUACUACUUGUCGGCGAGCGGCGGACGGGUGAGGAACACGUAGGAACUUGCCCAGAAGAGGGGGAUAACCAAGGGAAACUUUGGCUAAUACCGCAUAAACUCGAGAGAGAAAAGGUGCCCGCAAGGGUGCCGCUUUUGGAGAGGCCUGCGUCCGAUUAGCUAGUUGGUGAGGUAAAGGCUCACCAAGGCGAUGAUCGGUAACUGGUCUGAGAGGACGACCAGUCACACUGGGACUGAGACACGGCCCAGACUCCUACGGGAGGCAGCAGUGGGGAAUAUUGGACAAUGGGGGAAACCCUGAUCCAGCGAUGCCGCGUGGGUGAAGAAGGCCUUCGGGUUGUAAAGCCCUUUAGGUUGGGAAGAAGUAUAUGAGGGGAAUAUCCUUGUAUAUUGACGGUACCGACAGAAUAAGCACCGGCAAACUCUGUGCCAGCCGCCGCGGUAA